Molecule: small RNA, 6420 nt
Filed under: Pan troglodytes (chimpanzee)
Lineage: Eukaryota; Metazoa; Chordata; Mammalia; Primates; Hominidae
Description: retained intron
Source: RNAcentral
UCUGUUUGGAGAAGGGUAGACACUGGUCAGUGUCUCAACGAGUUAGGCAUCUGCGGGCUAACUGGGUUUAAUGUGAUCUAUACGGAUAACCUGCCUGCGUGUCAGGAUGCUGCUCCUAGCUCUCUGAAUGCCUCCUUCAAGAAAUGGACAGGCCCUAAUUGCUCCGGCUCCUUUUGACCUUCCAGACAAAAGAAGACCAGAUCCAAGUGAUAGGGAACCUCAAGAAUAUCUCGAUGGCAUCCAGCAAGCUGCUGUUAGCUGCCAAGUCUCUCUCUGUAGAUCCAGGAGCUCCCAAUGCGAAAAAUCUCCUGGCUGCAGCUGCAAGAGCUGUGACAGAGAGCAUCAAUCAACUCAUCACUCUGUGUACCCAACAAGCUCCGGGCCAGAAAGAGUGCGAUAAUGCCCUGCGGGAGCUCGAGACUGUGAAGGGGAUGUUGGACAAUCCUAAUGAACCUGUUAGUGACCUCUCUUACUUUGACUGCAUUGAGAGUGUGAUGGAAAACUCCAAGGUUCUGGGUGAAUCGAUGGCGGGGAUUUCACAGAAUGCCAAGACCGGAGACCUCCCUGCUUUUGGGGAAUGUGUGGGGAUUGCAUCCAAGGCUCUCUGUGGGCUGACAGAGGCCGCAGCCCAGGCUGCAUACUUGGUUGGCAUCUCUGAUCCAAACAGCCAGGCAGGCCACCAGGGCCUAGUGGACCCCAUCCAGUUUGCCAGGGCUAACCAGGCCAUCCAGAUGGCAUGCCAGAACUUGGUGGACCCUGGCAGCAGCCCAUCACAGGUAACUAUUGGGGAGGAUGUAAGAUUUCAAGCCCUUAAGCAGCUCCUCUAGGUAAGUUGUGGGAGACUAUGAGAAAUUAGUAAAGAAUCUUGUUCUUUCAGAGCUUGCAAAGGUAGCUAAAUGCCAGCAUUGUAGAUAAUGACUUAGGUGGGAGCAAAUAUUGCAAAAUAUGAUGAAUCUGGAAAUUUGUAAGUGCCUUGAAAUGGGGUGCCAGAAGGCAAAAGGAGUGAAGUAAUCACAGUGAGAUUGACAAGGAGUCUUCAUUCAUUUCAGGGGACGUGCAUUGAGGGCUUGUUCUGUGCUUAGCUGUAAGGGGUCAAUGUGCGCAGGGCUCCAUUUUCUACCCCUUGGCUCUUAAUGUGUUAGGCAAAGUUUGGAAAAUGCAAUGACCAGGGCACGAUGACAGUGCCAGGGAUGUGCAAAGGAAGGUGUGAUUAAUUCUCCAAGGGGGCUGUCAGGGCUCACUUCACAAAAGUGACGGCACUGAACCGGGCCUCAAAGUUGGGUAGAAUCUGCAGCACAGAAAGAAGCCAGAGUGACAUUUGAGGAAGAGCCAGUACAUGUGACAUUCCAUAACACCUCUCAUACCUGAGUGGCACGGGGUCCCAGUCACUUAUUAAAACAGUGUGUACUGCAAGGAAGGAGAAGUGGCUGGAAUGGGGGUGGCGGAGGCAGUCUUGUUAGUGGCAUGCCCACCAUCAACCUGGGGCCCACGUUCUUGAGGCAGGAGAAGGACCUGAACAAAGAAGGAAACACAAGGACCAUGUGGACCUAAAGCAGCCCCGAGAGCUGGUGUAUCUGGGAGUCCUUACCCAUCCAGCAAGGCCAAAGGGGUGUUACCAGCCUCAGCAAAGCAGAGCAGGUGGAUUCAGGAAAGCAAAUGAGUUGAGGCUGGCGGGGUGGAGCCUGUGGAACUUCCUGAGCCAGACACCUCGGUAGGUGCCAGCAGCCCUCCAUGGAUGAGGAGGGAGCUGUUGCACCUUGAUAUGUAUUUUUGUCAUCUGGAUCUGGGCUCUACAGUAUGGUGGCCACUGGCUACAUGUGGCUGUUAAGCACUUGAAAUGGAACUAGUCCAAACUGCGAUGGGUUGUAAAUACGCAGUGCACACUGAAUUUCAAAGACUUGGUAUGAUAAAAAGAUUGUAAAAUCUCAAUAUUUUUAAAUUGGUUAUAUGAUGAAAUAUUUUGGAUAUACCAAGUUAAAUAGAAGAAAUUAUUUCAUUAAUUUCUCUUGUUUCUCUACUUAUUUUAAAGUGACUACUAGAAAACUUAAAAUUGCGUAUGUGUAGACCUUGGUCUAGAUGCUAUACCCUGGACCUCCUAUCUGGGGUUCCAAAGGCUAACUGAUUACAUCUCCUUUAAGACUACCUGGGGCUCAGCCUAUCCCACCACUAUGUCAGCACCUCCUUUUUUCUUAUUCUUUCUUUAUUAUCUGUGCUUAAGAUUUCUUGCCCUCCUCUUUCUUGGAGUGACUUUAAGGGUGGCAGAACUAGACAUGCUUGUAAUUACACAGGCUCUGAACAUGUGAGUUGAACAGGAACCCAGGGCUGAGGACCAGGGUGGACCCCUCUGCACUGUAGCAUGGGGUACCCCCAACCUAGCUCCAUGCUUUGUAGGUCCUGUCAGCCGCCACAAUUGUUGCCAAGCACACGUCAGCCUUGUGCAAUGCCUGCCGCAUCGCCUCAUCCAAGACGGCCAACCCAGUAGCCAAGAGGCACUUCGUCCAGUCAGCCAAGGAAGUCGCCAACAGCACUGCCAACCUGGUGAAGACCAUCAAGGCCCUGGAUGGGGAUUUCUCUGAAGACAACCGCAGUAAGUGUCGCAUCGCCACCGCACCCUUGAUUGAAGCUGUGGAGAACCUGACAGCGUUCGCCUCAAACCCUGAGUUUGUCAGCAUUCCUGCCCAGAUCAGCUCCGAGGGUUCCCAGGCACAGGAACCAAUCCUGGUCUCAGCCAAGACCAUGCUGGAGAGUUCAUCGUACCUCAUUCGCACUGCACGCUCUCUGGCCAUCAACCCCAAAGACCCACCCACCUGGUCUGUACUGGCUGGACAUUCCCAUACAGUGUCCGACUCCAUCAAGAGUCUCAUCACUUCUAUCAGGGACAAGGCCCCUGGACAGAGGGAGUGUGAUUACUCCAUCGAUGGCAUCAACCGGUGCAUCCGGGACAUCGAGCAGGCCUCGCUGGCCGCCGUCAGCCAGAGCCUGGCCACGAGGGACGACAUCUCUGUGGAGGCCCUGCAGGAGCAGCUGACUUCGGUGGUCCAGGAAAUCGGACACCUUAUCGAUCCCAUCGCCACAGCGGCUCGGGGAGAAGCAGCUCAGCUGGGACAUAAGGUGACACAACUGGCAAGCUAUUUUGAGCCCUUGAUCUUAGCCGCAGUUGGUGUGGCCUCCAAGAUUCUUGAUCAUCAGCAGCAGAUGACGGUGCUGGACCAGACCAAGACUCUCGCAGAGUCUGCCUUGCAGAUGUUGUAUGCAGCCAAAGAAGGUGGCGGAAACCCCAAGGCACAACACACCCAUGACGCCAUCACAGAGGCCGCCCAGUUGAUGAAGGAAGCCGUGGACGACAUCAUGGUGACGCUGAACGAAGCUGCCAGUGAAGUGGGGCUGGUUGGGGGCAUGGUGGACGCCAUUGCAGAAGCCAUGAGCAAGCUGGAUGAAGGCACUCCUCCAGAACCAAAGGGAACAUUUGUCGACUAUCAGACGACUGUGGUUAAAUACUCCAAAGCCAUUGCGGUGACAGCUCAGGAAAUGAUGACUAAGUCGGUUACUAACCCGGAGGAGUUGGGAGGACUGGCUUCACAAAUGACCAGUGACUAUGGGCACCUGGCUUUCCAGGGCCAGAUGGCAGCAGCCACGGCGGAACCAGAGGAGAUCGGAUUCCAGAUUCGCACUCGUGUGCAGGACCUGGGCCACGGCUGUAUCUUCCUGGUGCAGAAGGCAGGGGCCCUCCAGGUCUGCCCCACAGACAGCUACACCAAGAGGGAGCUGAUUGAAUGCGCCCGUGCCGUCACGGAAAAGGUCUCCUUGGUGCUCUCGGCUCUCCAGGCCGGGAACAAAGGAACCCAGGCAUGCAUUACAGCCGCCACCGCUGUGUCUGGGAUCAUUGCCGACCUGGACACCACCAUUAUGUUUGCAACAGCAGGGACGCUGAAUGCAGAGAACAGUGAGACCUUCGCAGACCACAGGGAGAACAUUCUCAAGACGGCCAAGGCCUUGGUAGAAGACACGAAACUACUUGUGUCAGGAGCUGCGUCCACUCCUGACAAGCUGGCCCAGGCGGCCCAGUCCUCAGCAGCCACCAUCACCCAGCUCGCAGAGGUGGUCAAGCUGGGGGCAGCCAGCCUGGGCUCCGACGACCCCGAGACCCAGGUGGUUUUGAUCAACGCCAUCAAAGAUGUGGCCAAGGCCCUUUCCGAUCUCAUCAGUGCUACCAAGGGAGCUGCCAGCAAGCCAGCGGACGACCCUUCCAUGUACCAGCUCAAGGGGGCCGCCAAGGUGAUGGUGACCAAUGUCACCUCGCUCCUCAAGACUGUAAAGGCAGUGGAGGAUGAGGCCACCCGGGGCACCAGGGCGCUUGAGGCCACAAUUGAAUGCAUAAAGCAGGAGCUUACGGUGUUCCAGUCAAAAGACGUACCUGAAAAGACAUCAUCACCUGAAGAAUCCAUAAGGAUGACGAAAGGCAUCACCAUGGCAACAGCCAAAGCCGUGGCAGCUGGGAACUCAUGUAGACAGGAGGACGUGAUUGCUACUGCCAACCUGAGCCGGAAGGCCGUGUCAGAUAUGUUGACGGCUUGCAAGCAAGCAUCCUUCCACCCCGAUGUCAGUGACGAGGUGAGAACCAGAGCCUUGCGUUUCGGGACAGAGUGCACCCUCGGCUACUUGGACCUCCUGGAGCACGUCUUGGUGAUUCUUCAGAAACCAACCCCAGAACUCAAGCAGCAGCUGGCCGCUUUCUCCAAGCGAGUCGCCGGCGCUGUGACAGAGCUCAUCCAGGCGGCGGAAGCCAUGAAAGGAACAGAGUGGGUGGAUCCAGAAGACCCAACUGUCGUUGCAGAAACAGAGUUACUGGGGGCUGCAGCAUCCAUCGAAGCUGCUGCUAAGAAGUUAGAGCAACUGAAGCCAAGAGCAAAACCAAAACAAGCGGAUGAGACCCUGGACUUUGAGGAACAGAUCUUGGAAGCUGCUAAAUCCAUUGCUGCUGCCACAAGCGCCCUGGUCAAAUCGGCCUCAGCAGCCCAGAGGGAGCUGGUGGCCCAAGGAAAGGUGGGCUCCAUCCCUGCCAAUGCUGCAGACGACGGACAGUGGUCACAGGGGCUGAUUUCUGCUGCCCGGAUGGUGGCGGCUGCGACCAGCAGUCUCUGUGAGGCGGCCAAUGCCUCCGUUCAGGGACACGCCAGCGAGGAGAAGCUCAUCUCAUCUGCCAAGCAGGUCGCCGCUUCCACGGCUCAGCUGCUGGUGGCCUGCAAGGUGAAGGCCGACCAGGAUUCAGAGGCCAUGAGGCGGCUACAGGCGGCAGGAAAUGCUGUGAAAAGAGCCUCAGACAAUCUUGUCCGUGCAGCCCAGAAGGCAGCAUUUGGCAAAGCUGAUGACGACGAUGUUGUAGUGAAAACCAAGUUUGUGGGGGGCAUUGCUCAGAUCAUCGCCGCCCAGGAAGAAAUGCUAAAGAAAGAGCGAGAACUGGAAGAAGCAAGGAAAAAACUGGCCCAAAUCCGCCAGCAGCAGUAUAAGUUUUUACCCACCGAGCUGAGGGAAGAUGAGGGCUAAAGGUGCGAGCCCAGAUGGCGAGCCCCAGGGGAUGGCCCUGGCUGAACUGGACAGACAGUGUUCCUGAGAGGCUGGGCACUUAGCUGGAAACCGCCCACCUCCCCCCCGGGUGAGCCUGGAGCCCUGCGUGCUUGUUCUCACAUCUCUGUCCCAUCGGCACUGGCUGCAUGAUCGUGAUGUCACACGGUACAAUGUCCUACCCACAACUCCUCUGCCGCCUCCCCUCAUGCCUCACCGUGUCUCAGGAGAGAGGGGUGCACGUUUCAUGGACUGUUACCAACAAAGAAAAGUCAGUAUUAUGUUGUUCUCAGACACUUUGGCUUUUGUUGGUCCUUCUCUUAGGCCUGCUCCUGGACCUCUUUAUGAUAUUGUAAUAGGGAAAAAAAUCAUUGACGUCAUAGAAUAUUCUUCUUCCUCUCAGGAGAAGACGGAAGCUGGAGUUGGACAUGGUUCAUAAAAGCCAGAAACACAAACCCGUGUGGACUCCGGGAGGGUGACUCAGGUCCUCCUUCCAUGUCUUGAGCACUGGCUCACCCAGGGGGUGAAAAAUUCCCGCCCCUGUUUGCACGCUUUCUUGUCUCCGUGUGUAAGCUCCUUGUACAACCCAGACCCAUCUUGUAUUUUGUGGCCCAGAAAACUGAACAAUGAUUUUUUUCCUCCAUAGUCCAAAGGGCAGAGUUGCGGAAGGCCGUCAGGGCUUGGUGAGCAGGGGCUGUAAUAAAAUCUGUGGGCUCCUUACUCUGCAGAGGCUGUUUCAGUUCACACAGAGUCAUCCACACAAACCCACGGCUCCCAGUUGACAGUCAGUGGAAUGCUCGUCUCCUUAGCGUCCAGGGUGGGGAUUCUGCUGGAAUAAAGAGCUUCCUCAGUGACUCA